GACGAACGCUGGCGGCGUGCUUAACACAUGCAAGUCGAACGGAAAGGCCCCUUUGGGGGUACUCGAGUGGCGAACGGGUGAGUAACACGUGAGUAACCUGCCCUUGACUUCGGGAUAACUUCAGGAAACUGGGGCUAAUACCGGAUAGGAAUCCUUGCUGCAUGGUGGGGGUUGGAAAGCUUCGGCGGUUUUGGAUGGACUCGCGGCUUAUCAGCUUGUUGGUGGGGUAGUGGCUUACCAAGGCUUUGACGGGUAGCCGGCCUGAGAGGGCGACCGGCCACAUUGGGACUGAGAUACGGCCCAGACUCCUACGGGAGGCAGCAGUGGGGAAUAUUGCACAAUGGGCGGAAGCCUGAUGCAGCAACGCCGCGUGCGGGAUGACGGCCUUCGGGUUGUAAACCGCUUUCAGCAGGGGCGAAGCUUGUGGUGACGGUACCUGCAGAAGAAGCACCGGCUACCUCCGU
RNAcentral lists this ribosomal RNA (464 nucleotides) under uncultured bacterium. Its description in RNAcentral is "partial 16S ribosomal RNA". It matches the Rfam family "Bacterial small subunit ribosomal RNA", at positions 28 to 506 of the family's 1533-position model. The record is from RNAcentral.